GACGAACGCUGGCGGCGUGCUUAACACAUGCAAGUCGAACGAUGAAGCUAGAGCUUGCUCUGGUGAAUUAGUGGCGAACGGGUGAGUAACACGUGAGUAACCUGCCCCGAACUCUGGGAUAACUGCUGGCAACGGUAGCUAAUACUGGAUACGAGCUACGAAGGCAUCUCCUGUAGGUGGAAAGAAUGUGGGUUAGGGAUGGAUUCGCGGCCUCUCAGCUCGUUGGUGAUGUAAUGGCUCACCAAGGCGACGACGGGUAGCCGGCCUGGGAGGGUGACCGGCUACACUGGGACUGAGACACGGCCCAGACUCCUACGGGAGGCAGCAGUGGGGAAUAUUGCACAAUGGGCGCAAGCCUGAUGCAGCAACGCCGCGUGAGGGAUGACGUCCUUCGGGUUGUAAACCUCUUUUAGUAGGGAAGAAGCGAAAGUGACGGUACCUGCAGAAAAAGCACCGGCUAACUACGUGCCAGCCGCCGCCGUAA
Molecule: ribosomal RNA, 484 nt
Filed under: uncultured bacterium
Lineage: Bacteria
Description: partial 16S ribosomal RNA
Rfam family: Bacterial small subunit ribosomal RNA
Source: RNAcentral